This 831-nucleotide ribosomal RNA is filed under the name uncultured bacterium. Its description in RNAcentral is "bacterial SSU rRNA". It matches the Rfam family "Bacterial small subunit ribosomal RNA", at positions 97 to 929 of the family's 1533-position model. The record is from RNAcentral.
GGCGCACGGGUGCGUAACGCGUAUGCAACCUACCUUUUACUGGGGUAUAGCCCGAAGAAAUUCGGAUUAAUCCCCCAUAGCACUGAUAAUUCUCAUGAUGAAUCAGUUAAAGUUUCGGCGGUAAAAGAUGGGCAUGCGUCCUAUUAGCUAGAUGGUGAGGUAAUGGCUCACCAUGGCUACGAUAGGUAGGGGGCCUGAGAGGGUGGUCCCCCACACUGGUACUGAGACACGGACCAGACUCCUACGGGAGGCAGCAGUGAGGAAUAUUGGUCAAUGGGCGCAAGCCUGAACCAGCCAUGCCGCGUGCAGGAAGAAUGUCCUAUGGAUUGUAAACUGCUUUUAUUUGGGAAUAAACCCCCCGACGUGUCGGGGUCUGAAGGUACCAAAUGAAUAAGCACCGGCUAACUCCGUGCCAGCAGCCGCGGUAAUACGGAGGGUGCAAGCGUUAUCCGGAAUCAUUGGGUUUAAAGGGUCCGCAGGCGGGCAUAUAAGUCAGUGGUGAAAGCCUACAGCUCAACUGUAGAACUGCCAUUGAUACUGUAAGUCUUGAAUUCGGUCGAAGUGGGCGGAAUGUGUAGUGUAGCGGUGAAAUGCAUAGAUAUUACACAGAACACCGAUAGCGAAGGCAGCUCACUAGGCCUGGAUUGACGCUCAGGGACGAAAGCGUGGGGAUCAAACAGGAUUAGAUACCCUGGUAGUCCACGCUGUAAACGAUGAUUACUCGUUUUCGGCGAUAUACAGUCGGAGACUAAGCGAAAGUGAUAAGUAAUCCACCUGGGGAGUACGAUCGCAAGGUUGAAACUCAAAGGAAUUGACGGGGGCCCGCACAAG